RNAcentral lists this ribosomal RNA (253 nucleotides) under uncultured bacterium. RNAcentral describes it as "partial 16S ribosomal RNA". It matches the Rfam family "Bacterial small subunit ribosomal RNA", at positions 524 to 776 of the family's 1533-position model. The record is from RNAcentral.
UACGUAGGGUGCAAGCGUUGUCCGGAAUUAUUGGGCGUAAAGAGCUCGUAGGCGGUUCGUCGCGUCGGCUGUGAAAUCCCGAGGCUCAACCUCGGGUCUGCAGUCGAUACGGGCGGACUGGAGUUCGGCAGGGGAGACUGGAAUUCCUGGUGUAGCGGUGAAAUGCGCAGAUAUCAGGAGGAACACCGGUGGCGAAGGCGGGUCUCUGGGCCGUUACUGACGCUGAGGAGCGAAAGCGUGGGGAGCAAACAGG